AGAGUUUGAUCCUGGCUCAGGACGAACGCUGGCGGCGCGCCUAAUACAUGCAAGUCGAGCGGGUCCGCUUUGAGGGAAGGCUUCGGUUGGAACUUGGAGCAGAUCAGCGGCGGACGGGUGAGUAACGCGUGGGCAACCUGCCCUAUCGCCCGGGAUAACCCUCGGAAACGGGGGCUAAUACCGGAUGCGGUCACGAGCUCGCAUGAGGUUGUGACGAAAGGGUUUACCUGCGAUAGGAUGGGCCCGCGUCCCAUUAGCUAGUUGGUGGGGUAACGGCCUACCAAGGCGACGAUGGGUAGCCGGCCUGAGAGGGUGGACGGCCACACUGGGACUGAGACACGGCCCAGACUCCUACGGGAGGCAGCAGUAGGGAAUCUUCGGCAAUGGGCGAAAAGCCUGACCGAGCGACGCCGCGUGAGGGAAGAAGGUCUUCGGAUCGUNAACCUCUGUCCUUAGGGACGAAGGUGACGGUACCUAAGGAGGAAGCCCCGGC
RNAcentral lists this ribosomal RNA (493 nucleotides) under uncultured bacterium. Its description in RNAcentral is "bacterial SSU rRNA". It matches the Rfam family "Bacterial small subunit ribosomal RNA", at positions 8 to 497 of the family's 1533-position model. The record is from RNAcentral.